GACGAACGCUGGUGGCGUGCUUAACACAUGCGAGUCGAACGGGAUUUAGUAAACAGAAGCCUCGGUGGAAGAUUACUAAUGAGAGUGGCGAACGGGUGAGUAACGCGUGAGCAACCUGCCUAUGACAGUGGGAUAGCCUCGGGAAACCGGGAUUAAUACCGCAUAAAAUCGUAGAAACACAUGUUUUAACGGUCAAAGAUUUAUCGGUCAUAGAUGGGCUCGCGUCUGAUUAGCUAGUUGGUGAGAUAACAGCCCACCAAGGCGACGAUCGGUAGCCGGUCUGAGAGGAUGAACGGCCACAUUGGAACUGAGACACGGUCCAAACUCCUACGGGAGGCAGCAGUGGGGAAUAUUGCACAAUGGGGGAAACCCUGAUGCAGCGACGCCGCGUGAACGAAGAAGGUAUUCGUAUCGUAAAGUUCUGUCCUAUGGGAAGAUAAUGACAGUACCAUAGAAGAAAGCUCCGGCUAAAUACGU
This 477-nucleotide ribosomal RNA is filed under the name uncultured bacterium. RNAcentral's name for it is "partial 16S ribosomal RNA". It matches the Rfam family "Bacterial small subunit ribosomal RNA", at positions 28 to 506 of the family's 1533-position model. The record is from RNAcentral.